GCAGGCGCGAAACCUUUACACUGCACGCCAGUGCGAUAAGGGGAUCCCAAGUGCGUAGGCAUARAGCCUACGCUUUUGCCCACCCUAGGGUGGUGGACRAAUAAKGGCUGGGCAAGACCGGUGCCAGCCGCCGSGGURAUACCGGCAGCCCGAGUGAUGGCCGAUCUUAUUGGGCCUAAAGCGUCCGUAGCUGGCCGMACAAGUCCAUCGGGAAAUCCASCUGCUCAACAGGUGGGCGUCCGGUGGAAACUGUGUGGSUUGGGACCGGAAGGCGCGACGGGWACGUCCGGGGUAGGAGWGAAAUCCUGUAAUCCUGGACGGACCGMCRAUGGCGAAAGCACGUCSCGAAGACGGAUCCRACAGUGAGGGACGAAAGCUAGGGUCUCGAACCGGAUUASAUACCCGGGUAGUCCUARCCGUAAACACUGCCUGCUAGGUGUGGCACCCACUACGAGUGGGUGCUGUGCCGUAGGGAAGCCGCUAAGCAGGCCGCCUGGGAAGUACGUCCGCAAGGAUGAAACUUAAAGGAAUUGGCGGGGGAGCACUACAACCGGAGGAGCCUGCGGUUUAAUUGGAUUCAACGCCGG
Molecule: ribosomal RNA, 587 nt
Filed under: uncultured haloarchaeon
Lineage: Archaea; Methanobacteriati; Methanobacteriota; Halobacteria; Halobacteriales; Halobacteriaceae
Description: partial 16S ribosomal RNA
Rfam family: Archaeal small subunit ribosomal RNA
Source: RNAcentral